Lepisosteus oculatus (spotted gar) is the source of this 513-nucleotide non-coding RNA. The record is from RefSeq and is a predicted model, not a curated record. Lineage: Eukaryota; Metazoa; Chordata; Actinopteri; Semionotiformes; Lepisosteidae.
UGAAAAACAACCAAACAGAAGUGGAAACAGUUAGCUUACGCCAAAUUUCAUGCCUUCGUAGUGGACUUCUGCAAAAUCAAUCAGGAAAAGCAAACCAGAGGGCACGAGUGGGAGCUACUGUACAUGGAAGAGGAUCUGAAACUGAGAUCAGGAAGCAUUUUUUCCAUGCAAAGGUUUGGGAGGGUAUGGAACAAACUCAUAUAAUGUUCAAACUACUCAGCCACAUUAGUGAUGCCAAGCCCCUUGGCUUUCUCCAAAAAACAGCUGAAUGUGAUCCUUGAAUCAAUCAUCUUUUAGCUACCAAACAGGCUAGAUGGACCAUACAGCCUCCUCUCAUUUCUUAUGUAUCUGUUUGUAUGUGUAGGGGAUCUGUUCUUCAGGGGUGGGAUCUUUUGGGAUGAAAAGCGCUAUACCACAGCAAGGAACUAGGGAGGGUUUGUUUUAAAAAUCAUAUUAUACUUUAGUCCUAGUUUAUGAAUUUUAGUAUUAGCAGAAUUAACAUCACAUGAUGAA